Long non-coding RNA from Nicotiana tabacum (common tobacco), 2694 nucleotides. RefSeq lists it as uncharacterized. The record is from RefSeq and is a predicted model, not a curated record. NCBI's taxonomy places the organism in Eukaryota, Viridiplantae, Streptophyta, Magnoliopsida, Solanales, Solanaceae.
UUUAACAAUUGAAAUCAAAUUAGCUCUCUUUUGCUCUCAUCUAUAAGAAACCUACACUCAUCGAUAAGAAAUCAACAAAUUACGACAUCUAAUUUUAUAUAUUUCUGCUCUUUGUUGAAGUUAAGAUCACUAGCUGCCUAUCCAGAGUUCUAUUUCUCCUUAAGAUUUAGAAACCAAGAUCAUUUGUUGAUUCAAUCAACCAGGCAUCACAUCACAAAUAUAAGGGAACUCUUUCUAAGAAUGAAAACUACAACUUCUGGAGCAGAUGCGGAGCUGGUUGUCAAUAAUCCUUCGCUGGUGGCAGCUCAAAAAUAAAGCGAAUACACUCCUCAUCGAUGCACUCCUCCUAAGAAGCAAAAAAGAACGACUCCAUCAGAAAAUUCAAAAUCUGGGAAUAGUGGCAGAGAGACAUCCGAGAUUUGGAAUCACUUUUCCAAAUUUAUUGCUAAAAGAGGUAAAUGUAAGGCAAAAUAUAAUUAUUGUCCUAAAACAUUUGCUGCAGGUAGCAAGAAUGAGACUACUACAUUAUGGUCGCAUUUAAAUUCUACAUGUCACAAAUCUCCUUUUAGAGUCAUUGAUAAGAGACAAACAACAUUAAAACCUAUCAAAGAAGGGUGGCUAGAAGGUGGUUCGGGCGCUACUGAAAGGGUAGUGUAUAAUGUGGAUAACAUUAGGAGGGCGAUUGCCGAAUUUGUAAUUCUUGAUGAGCAACCUUUUAGAGUUGUUGAAGGAGAAGGAUUUAAGAAAUUAAUGGCUAAAGCCUUACCUAAUUUUGAAUUACCUUCUCGUGUAACUGUUGCUAGACAUUGUUUGAGGAUUUAUCAUGAAGAGAAAGAAAAACUUAAAAAUCUUAUUAAGAACCAACGUGUAUAUCUCACUAGUGAUACAUGGACGUCACUACGAAACUUAACUUAUAUGGUUGUCACUGCACAUUGGAUAGAUGAUCAAUGGAAUCUACAAAAGAAAAUUUUGAACUUUUUUCCAACAUCGGAUCACAAAGGUGAGACUAUUGCAAAGGGAAUUGAAGCAUGUUUAUUUGGUUGGGGCAUUGAGAACUUGUUUACAGUGACCUUGGAUAAUUCAAGUGCUAAUGAUGCUUCCAUUAAGCAUUUGAAGUUGCGUAUUGAUGAUUGGAAAUGGGUAAUACUUGAAAAUGAAUUUUUGCAUAUUAGAUGCAAUGCUUAUAUUUUAAAUUUGAUUGUAUAAGAUGAGUUAGAUGAACAAAUUGAGCCUAUUUCUCGUGUAAGAAAUGCGGUAAAAUAUGUUAGGUCUUCUCCUUCAAGGUUUGCUUCUUUCAAGUCAUUUGUUGAGAAAGCUAAGAUAGAUACUCAUGGUCUUGUAAGUCUUGAUGUUGAAACAAGAUGGAACUCCACAUAUACAAUGUUAGAUACAACUCUAAAAUUUGAAAAAGCAUUUACAAAAAUGUAUGUGGAUGACCAUAAGUAUCAAAAGUAUUGUCGAGAAAUAAGUGCUUUAAGAGGAAAUCCAUCUGCAGACGACUGGAAGAAUGUGAAAGCUUUUAUCAAGUUUAUUAACAUUUUCUAUCAGACAACUUUAAAAUUUUCAGGCAGUUUAUAUGCUAUUUCCAACUCUUUCUUCCAUGAAUUUUUCAAUCUUCGAAAUGCUAUUAUAAAGUAUACCAAAAGUGAUGAUUGUACUUUGAAAGAUAUGGCAGGAAGAAUGAAAAGUAAGCUUGAGAAAUAUUGGGGUAAGUUUGAGGAUAUGAGUAUGUUAUUGCUUGUUGCUGUUGUGUUGGAUCCUAGAUACAAGAUGAAGUAUGCGAACUUCAUUCUUACUGAUGCAUUUGGUUCUUUAUUGGGAAGAUUAAAGUUUGAAUAUGUGAUAAGCAUUUUAAAUCGCUUGUAUAAUAACUACAAUGAUUCUUUUUUUGAGGAUUCUAAUAACAAUAUUGGAGGCGAUACUAGUAUGAGUGAAGUUGGUGAUUUAUUGCAAUCAAAGUGGGAGAAACUUUUGGAAGAUGAGGGAAAUACUAUAAAAAAAAUCUGAUCUUGAGAUAUAUUUGAUGGAUAACGUGGUGAAGAUCAAGGAUUUUAAUAUCUUGACAUGGUGGAAAGUUUCAUCUAGUAAAUAUCCAAUUGUUUCAAGGAUUACAAGGGAUGUUCUUUCUAUUCCUAUUUCUACUAUUGCAUCGGAGUCGGCUUUUAGUACAGGAGGUCAAAUUCUGGAUUCUUAUAGGAGUUCUUUAUCACCAAAAACAGUGGAAGCACUUAAUUGUACUCAACAAUGGAUACAAUCACCUUCUUUGGAAUAUAAGUUUGAAGACAUGUUAGAAGAAAUCCAGAAAAUUGAGCAAAUUGAAUAAGAAUAUGUAGACUCACCUUUGAGGAUUGAUUAGAGGGAUGAUUAACUACAAUUUGCUUCAUGACUAUUUUUGGAAGUGAGGUCAUUAUGCCUUUACAAGUAUUUUGGAAACAUGCUCCUCUGGUUGUAAUGUCUACUAAGAUGCCCAACUUCUUAGAGUUUAAUAUAUUCUCCUUUUGUUUAUUUUUUAAGACUCUUGGGUGUAAUGUCUACUCUUAAAAAGUUGAGUGAUCCUAUGUGAUAACUCUUAUGCAUAUAAUUCCCCUGUACUGCUCUUGUAUUGUUAUCAAUGCAAUACCAGGAUUGUGAUAAUCUAGUAAGCUUUGUGCUAUGCUUUCGGUAUUCCUUCUUGUUGGCAUGUAAUAAAUUAUA